UGAAUAUAUGCCUGUCCCUCAGUGCAGACCUUUCUCUCGACCACUUUGCCAUGAGGAGGUUCUACAACGACAAACUGUCCGCUCUGAUGACCCCCUCACAGAAACGGUAUGUUUGGAUGCUGGGGAGCAUGUUAAAAGGAGGACUGAGGAUUUGUCCCUCUCCAUCUUUCCUCCUCGGUGUUGUUCUUCACGGCCUUCCCAAAAUAAGACCAAAUGGAGGUCUCUGCCUCUUUCUGAGAGUCUACCAGAACCUACAAGCCGUCUGCACGUCGGCAGUUUACCAUGUUGCUGCAGGACAGACGGACCGGCUCUACUUUGUGCUCCAGCCGGCUCAGCUGCUCAAAGGGGACAUCAUGGUGGUUUGCUACGAUAAAGACAGCCGGUCAGCCAGCCGUCAGGUCGUCUUUCGUCUCCAGUUUCACACUGGCCUCGAACACGGACACACCCUCACUUUCUUGAAGGCAGACCUUGACUGUGCCAGUGAAGAUCCUCGGUUCCCAGAAGAUGGAAAAGUGGAGCUGUUGCUUUCCCAAAGUCCUGACAAGACCGCAGGCAGAGAGCUGUGGCACAACGGAGCCUCCGUGACCGUGGACUAUGACACCUUGGACCCCUUAGUGAGACGAGACUCCUACCAAGAAACGUCCCCCUGUGAAACAGCUGCACCUCAUGUCCUGGACCCCGGAAAUAUCAGCUUGUACGCCAGCGUGAGGAAGAGGAGCAGCGAGGAAGGAGUUUCGCUGCCCCCGACCACCGGCAGCUGCAGCGACCGAGCUCCGUCUGCCAGCAGUGAUUCAGGCCUGUCUGUUGCCUCCCAGGGGAGGACCGCGACCCGGCAGAGGACAGGGGUCGCACGGGACAAGUGCACCCGGGCAGGGAAGCUGCUCUCUGCGGUGGACUUUGAGAUCGCUCAGCCUCUUCUGGAGGUCAUGACUGAGCUGGCUGCGUGUGGUGGAGGGGAGGUGGAGAUGGUUGGAGGUGGGUCUGGACUGGGGCACCCCAUAAACGGAGAGGCGUCGUCCAGCGAGAGAGAGACUGAUAUACUGGACGAUGAGGAUGAACUAGCUGAUGUGGCAGCUUCUGCUUUAGACGUGCAGAGCUCGAGUAGCUUCUGCUCCCUGUCCUCAGAGAAUCUUCCCGAAACCCAGAGAUCGGCCCAAACUGAGUGCUCCACACACUACUGGGUGCGGCGGCAGCAGAUGGUGGAUGUCGUCUCUGAUAAUUACUUUGAAGUGGAUGCAGAGGAGAGGGCGAGCAGAGUGAGAAAAGAGAGGCAGCCGCCUCCGGUAGCUCCGGACACACCACUUCGAGGAUCCAGCAGCAGGGAAGCCGUGCAGAGAGGGCAGGUGGACGAGGACGGGACACGCAACCUCACGCAAAACGCUGCUAAUACACAUAACACACAGUCUGCUCACACCGCACACAAUUCGUCUCACCAAGAAGAUGAUUUGGCGUCGCUAACCACAGACAUCGAUGACUCCAUAGAGCAGCUGAACCAGCUGAUUCUGGAUUUGGACCCAACCUUUGUUCCCGUUCCCGUUCCUAGCCGCUGUGCCCCCCUGUCCCGCUCCGCCUCCCUCCACACCAACGGCGUCGGCCACGAGGGAAAUACGCAUCUGUCAGGGUGGAAGCAGCAGGGGCAGGCCAGCGACGUGACGGACCACGCUGGUCUACAUAGUCCAGGAUGGAGAGGGGGUGGACCUCAGACCUUCAGGGGCUCCCCGCUCAACAGUCCCUCUUUCUCACUGUCUCGGCAUUUGCAUCUCCACAAAGCGACCGGCGUGGACAAUCGGGGACAAGCGGAGAGCUCGGACAUCGUCCCACAAACUCCGGCCUUCCCAGUGUCUCCUCCGACGCCCUACGUGAAAAAUUUCUCCGAGUGUUCCCAGCUCGGGACUGGCGGGCAGUGGGACCAACACAGCUGGACACAAGAUGCCCGGAAUUUCCUGGACAGUAUGAACCACACCGGCGGCUCCACAGAGGGAAACCUGUUCAGAUCAGACGUGUCGGUCACUCCUUCUUCCUGUCAGAGGAUCUUCGGCUCCAUGUGCUCGGUGUCAUCAGGAAGCCCACUGCCACACACAGACAGCGCCACUCCUCCUCCAGUGUGGCAUGACCAGACUCCAAACGCCCUGAACUCCCCGUAUCUCCCCCAGCCCUCACCCCCCCUCUCCCUCAGCAAUCCAAAUGCCCACAGUUCUCCCCGGGGGGUUCCGAAAAGCCCGGGUGGAGGUCCGGGUGUCCGCAGAGAGACAGACAGCGCAGACUUGUCCUCAUUUCUGUUGGGGAACGGCGGCCUGGAUCACAGCCUGCUGGAGGCCGUGGAGGGGCUUGGGAGUUUGAACCUCGGGGGAGACGGGGGCCUCGCUCCGCUGCUGCCCGAGAAGAGGAGAUGGGGUGAGGGCGGAGAGCUUGGCUCCUGCUCCCCUUCUCUAAGCGGGUUUUCCAGCCCUCAUAGCGGCAGCAGUCUCAGCAUCCCUUUCUCGUCUUCGAUGACCCCGGACCCCCUUAGAGGACUCAGUGGGGCCCCGUCACCCGGAGCAGACUUUGGCAAUAAGCAGGACACUGUGAAGUUUGUUCAGGACACGUCCAAGUUCUGGUACAAGCCUGACAUUUCCAGAGACCAAGCCAUUGCGGUGCUAAAGGACAAAGAGCCGGGCUCGUUCAUUGUCAGAGACAGCCAUUCGUUUCGCGGCGCGUACGGGUUGGCUAUGAAGGUGGCAACUCCCCCUCCGUCUGUCUUACAACAGAGUAAGAAAGUAGGAGACCUGUCCAAUGAGCUGGUCAGACAUUUCCUGAUAGAGUGCACACAGAAAGGAGUUCGUCUUAAAGGCUGCCCCAAUGAGCCCUACUUUGGAAGUCUCACUGCUCUGGUGUGUCAGCACUCCAUCACCCCUCUGGCUCUGCCCUGUAAACUCAUCCUGCCCGACAAAGACCCAGUGGAGGAGCUGAAUGACUCAUCUGCACAAACAGCAACAAACUCAGCAGCUGAACUCCUCAAACAGGGAGCAGCGUGCAACGUCUGGUACCUGGGCUCCGUGGAGCUGGAGUCGUUGACGGGGCACCAGGCGGUUCAGAAGGCCACCACGACGACGCUCUCCAUGGACCCCCAGCCGGCCUCGACCGUCGUCCACUUCAAAGUGUCGGCACAGGGCAUCACGCUCACGGACAACCAGCGGAAGUUGUUCUUCAGGAGACACUACGCUGUCAACACCGUUAUAUUCUGUUCUCUGGACCCACAGGGCAGGAACUUCACAUCAAAACACACACAGUGACAGACGAUGCUGCUGAUUAGCUGACGGCCUCUCAGGCCAGAAAGCGCUCAUUUAUACGCAGGAGAAAACACGAGUAGACCAAACGGUUGAAGAAUGGAAGACUGUGAUUGUGUUGGAAGAGUGCUGGAAAAGGAAUUCGUGGCCACCGGAGUCAGUCAUGGUGAUACAGUGAUUUCUCUCUCAGGCAAAAUCUGAGAAAAGCACACCGUUGCUGCUCCUGUAGCAAUAAACCAGAGCUCAGAAUCUGCUUUUCCAAACACCUGGAGGCCUGUAUUAGUUGUCACACAAAGUCAUCAGUACAUAUUGUACAAGAUGAUUGCAUCAAUUGACCAAAAUUUGAAUACUUUAUAUCACUGUUAUUUGACACAUCCCAGUCCAUGACCAUGUUUUGACAGAAUCAUCAGAGAAGAUUGAAAUCACGAUGAUAUCCUAUCACUUUAUCACAGUCAGAGGAGAGAUAGUUUUUUAUGCAUUCAUAUUUCGUGUACGAUUAAUGCAUGUAUGUUAUGUAUGAAUGUGUAGAUUCGAAUGCCAGAAAUAGUCUUAUAACUUCCUAAUGUCACCCUGACUAAACAGAUGGACAAGAGGCAGCGGUUCCACUGCGAAGAUCUUUGGAUUUGUGGCCAGGAAAUCUCAGAGUGAGACCGAAAACAUGUGCCAUCUGUUUGCUGAGCACGACCCGGAG
Molecule: RNA transcript, 3957 nt
Organism: Xiphias gladius (swordfish)
Lineage: Eukaryota; Metazoa; Chordata; Actinopteri; Istiophoriformes; Xiphiidae
Gene name: tensin-3-like
Exons: 22
Source: RefSeq, a predicted model, not a curated record